This 65-nucleotide transfer RNA is filed under the name Operophtera brumata (winter moth). It matches the Rfam family "tRNA". Rfam says of the family: Transfer RNA (tRNA) molecules are approximately 80 nucleotides in length. Their secondary structure includes four short double-helical elements and three loops (D, anti-codon, and T loops). Lineage: Eukaryota; Metazoa; Arthropoda; Insecta; Lepidoptera; Geometridae. The record is from Rfam by way of RNAcentral.
CCUGGUCUAGUGGCUCUCACCUGGCUCUCACCCAGGAGGCCCGGGUUCGAUUCCCGGUAUCGGAA